AUUUAAUAUCAAAGAAUAGUUUAAUUAAAAUAUUAAUUUUGGAGAUUAAUGAUAAAGAUUCUUUUUCUUUGA
This 72-nucleotide transfer RNA is filed under the name Dorcadia ioffi. Its description in RNAcentral is "tRNA-Pro". The record is from RNAcentral. Lineage: Eukaryota; Metazoa; Arthropoda; Insecta; Siphonaptera; Vermipsyllidae.